This 19-nucleotide microRNA is filed under the name Rattus norvegicus (Norway rat). RNAcentral's name for it is "rno-miR-328a-5p". Its record names the gene rno-miR-328a-5p. Lineage: Eukaryota; Metazoa; Chordata; Mammalia; Rodentia; Muridae. The record is from miRBase by way of RNAcentral.
GGGGGGCAGGAGGGGCUCA